AAAAAAGUGCUGCCCUUUCCUCUGCUAGGGUUUUGCCCUAACUUCUGCCGCCGCUCGAACAUGCCACCGCUCGAAAACUCACGAUCCCCGUCCAAACUCCGAUCGUGACGAAGCGAACAGGAAUCCGACGGUCGACCUAAAGGUGAAUCUUCACUUCUCUAUUCUCUUUUUAUUAUUUUUGCAUAAAACGAAACGAAGAAGAAAAUAAAAAAACUGAGAAUCACAUUCCAAAAUACUGGUAUUCGAUUUCUUCUUUUGUUUUUGUAUUUCAAUAUGUGUGUAACGAAAAAAAAGAUCCUUUUACAGAUUUCGUUGGCCCUUUUUUUAUAGCCGAAAAAAAUCCAAAAAUAAUAGAAAUACAAUGUUUUUCUUUGUCUCUGCUGCGUUGUUUGCUCUGUUUGCAGGUACGUUCGUACGGUGACGUGGCGCGACGCGUACGGAGGCAGAGGCUGGCGUGGAGCGGCUCGGAGGCGUGGUUGCGGCGCUAGAGGCUGAAUGCUGCUAGGGUUUGCUGCUGUGCAUUCUGGUGUUGGGCCAUUUGGGCUGAGUUGGUUUGCUGGGCUUAGAAUCAGGUUUAGGUUUCGGCUAGAGUCUAGGCAAAUUGGGUUUGGUGAAAUUGUUUGUAAUUUGGACUGUUAUUUUAUUUGUUUUUUUAUUAUUUAUUUUAAUAGCAGAC
RNAcentral lists this long non-coding RNA (676 nucleotides) under Gossypium barbadense (sea-island cotton). RNAcentral describes it as "long non-coding RNA (GBAR_LNC021019)". Lineage: Eukaryota; Viridiplantae; Streptophyta; Magnoliopsida; Malvales; Malvaceae. The record is from RNAcentral.